Molecule: ribosomal RNA, 253 nt
Filed under: uncultured bacterium
Lineage: Bacteria
Description: partial 16S ribosomal RNA
Rfam family: Bacterial small subunit ribosomal RNA
Source: RNAcentral
UACAGAGGUCCCGAGCGUUGUUCGGAUUCACUGGGCGUAAAGGGUGCGUAGGUGGUGAGGUAAGUCGGAUGUGAAAUCUCGGAGCUUAACUCCGAAAUGGCAUUGGAAACUGCCUUGCUAGAGGUUCGGAGGGGGGACUGGAAUACUUGGUGUAGCAGUGAAAUGCGUAGAUAUCAAGUGGAACACCAGUGGCGAAGGCGAGUCCCUGGACGAAACCUGACACUGAGGCACGAAAGCUAGGGGAGCAAACAGG